Molecule: ribosomal RNA, 454 nt
Filed under: Vibrio alginolyticus
Lineage: Bacteria; Pseudomonadati; Pseudomonadota; Gammaproteobacteria; Vibrionales; Vibrionaceae
Description: bacterial SSU rRNA
Rfam family: Bacterial small subunit ribosomal RNA
Source: RNAcentral
GUCGUGAGGAAGGCGGCGUCGUUAAUAGCGGCGUUGUUUGACGUUAGCGACAGAAGAAGCACCGGCUAACUCCGUGCCAGCAGCCGCGGUAAUACGGAGGGUGCGAGCGUUAAUCGGAAUUACUGGGCGUAAAGCGCAUGCAGGUGGUUUGUUAAGUCAGAUGUGAAAGCCCGGGGCUCAACCUCGGAAUAGCAUUUGAAACUGGCAGACUAGAGUACUGUAGAGGGGGGUAGAAUUUCAGGUGUAGCGGUGAAAUGCGUAGAGAUCUGAAGGAAUACCGGUGGCGAAGGCGGCCCCCUGGACAGAUACUGACACUCAGAUGCGAAAGCGUGGGGAGCAAACAGGAUUAGAUACCCUGGUAGUCCACGCCGUAAACGAUGUCUACUUGGAGGUUGUGGCCUUGAGCCGUGGCUUUCGGAGCUAACGCGUUAAGUAGACCGCCUGGGGAGGACGG